GACGAACGCUUGCGGCGUGCCUAAGAAAUGCAAGUCGAGCGAGGUUUAGGCUUCGGCCGACGACCUAGCGGCGAACGGUCGCGUAACACGUAAGCAACCUGCCCUAAAGUUGGGGGACUAGCCCGCCGAAAAGGCGGAUUAAUACCGAAUGUGGAUAUGUAUUCGCAUGUAUAUAUAUCUGAAGCAGCGAUGCGCUUUAGGAUGGGCUUGCGGCCUAUCAGUUAGUUGGUGUGGGUAACGGCCUACCAAGACGACGACGGGUAGCUGGUCUGAGAGGAUGGUCAGCCGGAUUGGGACUGAGACACGGCCCAGACUCCUAUGGGGGGCAGCAAUUAGGAAUCUUGCGCAAUGGGCGAAAGCCUGACGCAGCGACGCCGCGUGACUGAUGAAGUCUUUCGAGAUGUAAAGGUCUUUUGUUGGGGACGAAGGAAGUGACGGUACCCGACGAAUAAGCCCCGGCUAACUACGUG
This 470-nucleotide ribosomal RNA is filed under the name uncultured bacterium. Its description in RNAcentral is "bacterial SSU rRNA". It matches the Rfam family "Bacterial small subunit ribosomal RNA", at positions 28 to 507 of the family's 1533-position model. The record is from RNAcentral.